AUGGCAUUUCAAAACUCAUUUCAUAACGCAUUUCAUUUAACUCGAUUUCUGGGAAAAUCAAUAGUAUAUAGAUAUAUAUAGAAAACAAAUGCCCACUCACCUGGGGUCCGCGCUACAACUCCCUAACAUCAAAACCAAGGCAUCCCGAACGCUCGGCUCCUAAAACAGUUAUCAAACCACGUCUCAGAACUCUUAUCCAUAGAAUAUGAAAUUCACAUAACACAUAGCCAAAAGGGCAUUCAAGAAUAAUGCGAGACCCUUUGAUCAAAGGUCAACCGUCGACUAAGUUCGACGGUAGGGUCAUAACCCCACAUAACUCAAUCCGAAAGAUCCACAACUCAGAUUUCC
This 348-nucleotide long non-coding RNA is filed under the name Malus domestica (apple). RNAcentral describes it as "long non-coding RNA (MDOM_LNC008362)". The record is from RNAcentral. Lineage: Eukaryota; Viridiplantae; Streptophyta; Magnoliopsida; Rosales; Rosaceae.